This is a long non-coding RNA of Phycodurus eques (leafy seadragon), 586 nucleotides long. RefSeq lists it as uncharacterized. The transcript is spliced from 6 exons. NCBI's taxonomy places the organism in Eukaryota, Metazoa, Chordata, Actinopteri, Syngnathiformes, Syngnathidae. The record is from RefSeq and is a predicted model, not a curated record.
AGGACGACAGGCUCGUGGCAUCAUCCACCUCAGCAGGAUUCAUCUCGAGAAAGAGUCAUUUCACUUUCUUCUAGUUUGGGGGCAAGAGGGGACGCUAUGGAUGCUGGGACGAUUGCAGUCCUUCUAGCGACCAUGGCAUUUGACAUGUCCUUUGGUGGAUAUGUACUACGAAAUGAAAACCGAACAACCGUGAACGUGCCUCUUGUGAUGACCUUGGAGGAAGCUUUUGUGGAAGAGUUAAACAAUGGUAGCAGUGAACAACACAAAAGUCUUGAAGCACAAGUGGUAUCAAUGUGUGACUUCAUCUAUAUCAAAGAAUUUAGAAAUAAUUUCAUUAAAACCACCUUCAUUGGAUUUAGUCCAAAAAUGGGAAACACGCAAGUGGAAGUGGCACUGAAGUUCAGCAAUACAUCGUCUGAUCAACUCCCAAAAGACGAUGUAGUUGUAAACAUAUUGCUACAAGUUGUGAAUAGUACAAGCAACCCUUUCAAAUUCACUGUUGUUCGAGAAACGGCAAAAGUAAUUUCACCUGAAGAAUCAACAACUAGUGGACCGAUAACAACUUCGGUAAUCUCAAUUCCCUUAC